Long non-coding RNA from Oncorhynchus nerka (sockeye salmon), 374 nucleotides. RefSeq lists it as uncharacterized. Lineage: Eukaryota; Metazoa; Chordata; Actinopteri; Salmoniformes; Salmonidae. The transcript has 3 exons. The record is from RefSeq and is a predicted model, not a curated record.
UGAUCCGAGAGACACUGUGGCUGCUCUCUGGGGUGAAGAAACACUUUAUAUUCCAGCAUCAGGAUGGAAAAGUGGUGGUCAGGAAUGACGUGGUGGUCACUCACCUAACUAACAACUGCCUACGGUCCGUGUUGGAGCACAUAGCAGUCUAUGGACAGGCAGUGUUCCGGCUGCAGAGGUUUAUAGACGAGGUAACGGGGUACGACACUGAGCCCUGCCCUCCAGGCUCCUACUCCUCUAAGCAGGGCACCGAGCCUCCCUUCAGGACUUACCAGGCUUUUGUCUGGGCUCUCUACAAAUACUUCACCUCCUUCAAACAGGAGCUCACCACCAUAGAAAGAGACCUCAUAGGCAAAGGCAGGUUUACCUUUCAU